Molecule: long non-coding RNA, 358 nt
Organism: Arabidopsis thaliana (thale cress)
Lineage: Eukaryota; Viridiplantae; Streptophyta; Magnoliopsida; Brassicales; Brassicaceae
Product: other RNA
Exons: 1
Source: RefSeq
GAAUCUUUUAAUCCCUGAACCAUGCCAGCACGCUCGACUUUGAUGCCCCAUACGUUCUUGAUCGUUAUGCCUCUUACUAUGGGAAGAGCGGAUGUGUUGAAUUUAUCGUCUGGAUGAUCUCCGGUGUCGCCAGAGAUCUUAAUCCCGGUCCGGACUUUUUCUAGGUAAACCCCGGAGAUUGUUAUCCCCUGUAUGCUUCCUCCUCGGCCAAUGUUUGUCUUGAUGUGGAUGCCGAUACCAGAAUUGUAGAGAGUGAUGUUUUCAACUGUUACAUUUUGGAUUCCGCCAGAAGUUUCGCUUCCGAUGGCUAUUCCAGCAAAUGGGGAAGAUCCAGUGAUGCGGCGGAUGGUGAUGUCAC